Molecule: long non-coding RNA, 213 nt
Filed under: Elaeis guineensis (African oil palm)
Lineage: Eukaryota; Viridiplantae; Streptophyta; Magnoliopsida; Arecales; Arecaceae
Description: long non-coding RNA (EGUI_LNC046098)
Source: RNAcentral
CGCAAGACUUGAUCUCCAUGUUGUUAUCCCUUAUUCCUCUUGAUGUCCCACCUCCUCCUCAGAUCAGAUCAAAGAGCGAGGAAGAUUAGAGAGAGAGAAGAAGAAGGGAAGAGAAAGGUUCUCAUCCCUUCUUGGUAUCCUAGAAGCCAUCUCCUAUGAUUUAGUGCGAAAGAGUUUGCAUGGGGAUCAUCUCCUUCUAGAUCUUGAAGGAGA